Molecule: ribosomal RNA, 488 nt
Filed under: Apiotrichum sporotrichoides
Lineage: Eukaryota; Fungi; Basidiomycota; Tremellomycetes; Trichosporonales; Trichosporonaceae
Description: partial 5.8S ribosomal RNA
Rfam family: 5.8S ribosomal RNA (bases 151-304)
Source: RNAcentral
CUUCCGUAGGUGAACCUGCGGAAGGAUCAUUAGUGAUUGCCCCUAGUGGCUUAAACUAUAUCCAUAUACACCUGUGAACCGUUUGAUUGACACUCUGUGUUAAUUUUACAAACAAUGUGUAAUGAACGUCUAGUUAUUAUAACAAAAAAUAACUUUCAACAACGGAUCUCUUGGCUCUCGCAUCGAUGAAGAACGCAGCGAAAUGCGAUAAGUAAUGUGAAUUGCAGAAUUCAGUGAAUCAUCGAAUCUUUGAACGCAACUUGCGCUCUCUGGUAUUCCGGAGAGCAUGCCUGUUUGAGUGUCAUGAAAUCUCAACCAUUAGGGUUUCUUAAUGGCUUGGAUUUGAGUGUUGGCAGUCUCUGCCUCACUUUAAAGGAGUUAGCGAGUUUUAACAAUGUCGUCUGGCGCAAUAAGUUUCGCUGGUAAGACUUGCGAAGUUUGCUUCUAAUCGACCUCCGGACAAUUACUUGUGACUCUGGGCCUCGAAA